UGUUCUGUGGCUUAGUUUGUUAAAGCGCCGGUCUAGCGAAUACGGAGUCGUGGAUUCGAAUCCCACCAGAACGC
Molecule: non-coding RNA, 74 nt
Organism: Aedes albopictus (Asian tiger mosquito)
Lineage: Eukaryota; Metazoa; Arthropoda; Insecta; Diptera; Culicidae
Source: Rfam